GUGGGGAAUAUUGGACAAUGGGCGAAAGCCUGAUCCAGCCAUGCCGCGUGUGUGAAGAAGGUCUUCGGAUUGUAAAGCACUUUAAGUUGGGAGGAAGGGCAGUAAGUUAAUACCUUGCUGUUUUGACGUUACCGACAGAAUAAGCACCGGCUAACUUCGUGCCAGCAGCCGCGGUAAUACGAAGGGUGCAAGCGUUAAUCGGAAUUACUGGGCGUAAAGCGCGCGUAGGUGGUUUUGUAAGUUGGAGGUGAAAUCCCCGGGCUCAACCUGGGAACUGCCUCCAAAACUGCAUUACUAGAGUACGGUAGAGGGUAGUGGAAUUUCCUGUGUAGCGGUGAAAUGCGUAGAUAUAGGAAGGAACACCAGUGGCGAAGGCGACUACCUGGACUGAUACUGACACUGAGGUGCGAAAGCGUGGGGAGCAAACAGGAUUAGAUACCCUUGUAGUCC
Molecule: ribosomal RNA, 450 nt
Filed under: uncultured bacterium
Lineage: Bacteria
Description: bacterial SSU rRNA
Rfam family: Bacterial small subunit ribosomal RNA
Source: RNAcentral